UUAACUCAAUUAUUAUUCACAUGUCCUAUACUAACACCCUCUCUUCAGUCUUGCUGGGUCAUAUCUCCUUCAUGAGGACAAUACCUUCGGUUGUUAGGAGUCCGAUCGGCUGCCCAACUGACACUUUGAAGACUUUUCCCGGAAAAACCAAUCCACCCUCAACAAAAGCCUAAUGCUACUAAAGAAAAACCAGUUCUGUCAGCAAUAGCCAUUCAACAUAACAACAAGAUGAAGCCAUUUUUUAUUUCUUCCUUGAAAGAAUGCAUUCCUGGUGGAAAAUUAUGAAAGAUAACAGCAGAUUAAACAAGGUACCUAUGUUACUUGGAAUCGAGAGUAUAUCGGAUAUGAAUAAUAUCUACUCCAAUACGAGCAUGUUUAACUUUUUUCGAGCUUUUCCUUGUAUAUUCUCAUACUUGUGUUUGGAUUCGAGUUUACCUCACACAUACGAAGUAAAUCCAUUGACAGAAAAGGAACUUUUCAUGUUUCUAAUCAGUAUUGAAAUAUGACCUUAAGAUGUAGGCUAGUCUUUUAUGAACUUUUUUCCCACAACAUAAUAAUGAUAUACAACAUAAAAUUACAAUAAAUUUUUUUAUUGAAAUGAAGAAAAUCUUAAAUUAUUCUAAAGAGAAAAAUUAAAUCUGUUACAUUGAAAAAAAAAUGGGAACCAAAGCUCAAAAAAGCAAUAACAAGAUGAUCCACAGCAACAAUGCUAUAGCAGAGGGAUUUUUUUUUUUAACUUUGUAUGCUGUAGGGUAUAAACAGUUUGUGGUGCAAAUUACAUAUAAUUUUGCAAACCAAGAACUGAAAAAAAAAAAGAGAAGAAAAUGUUCUGAAAAUCAACAACAAAAAGACUUAAUCAAGCCCAGAAUUGAAAAAUCCAGAAAAGAUUCAAACACUUACAAUUACAAUAUUUUAACAAUGCCCUUUUCCAUUGCAUUGUUCUUUGUUCACCAGCUAGAUACUGCUCUUGUCAAUGGAAUUCAUCACUUUUGACCAUCAAAGUAUACGUAUUUUUAGCCAUCAAUGCAUUGUAAGCCUCUGCAAACCCAUAACC
This 1054-nucleotide long non-coding RNA is filed under the name Gossypium barbadense (sea-island cotton). RNAcentral describes it as "long non-coding RNA (GBAR_LNC022073)". Lineage: Eukaryota; Viridiplantae; Streptophyta; Magnoliopsida; Malvales; Malvaceae. The record is from RNAcentral.